This 305-nucleotide ribosomal RNA is filed under the name uncultured bacterium. Its description in RNAcentral is "bacterial SSU rRNA". It matches the Rfam family "Bacterial small subunit ribosomal RNA", at positions 338 to 640 of the family's 1533-position model. The record is from RNAcentral.
CCUACGGGACGCAGCAGUGAGGAAUAUUGGUCAAUGGGCGCGAGCCUGAACCAGCCAAGUCGCGUGAGGGAUGACGGUCCUACGGAUUGUAAACCUCUUUUGCCGGGGAGCAAGCGUGCGUUCGUGAACGCGCGUCGAGAGUACCCGGAGAAAAAGCAUCGGCUAACUCCGUGCCAGCAGCCGCGGUAAUACGGAGGCUGCGAGCGUUACCCGGAUUUGUUGGGUUUAAAGGGUGCGUAGGCGGGGUGCCUAGUCAGCGGUAAAAAUGCGGUGCUCUACGCCGUCGAGCCGUUGAAUCUGAGGUU